Molecule: ribosomal RNA, 433 nt
Filed under: uncultured bacterium
Lineage: Bacteria
Description: partial 16S ribosomal RNA
Rfam family: Bacterial small subunit ribosomal RNA
Source: RNAcentral
AACGAACGCUGGCGGCAUGCCUAACACAUGCAAGUCGAACGAGACCUUCGGGUCUAGUGGCGCACGGGUGCGUAACGCGUGGGAACCUGCCCUUAGGUUCGGAAUAACUCCCCGAAAGGGGUGCUAAUACCGGAUAAUGUCUUCGGACCAAAGAUUUAUCGCCCUUGGAUGGGCCCGCGUUGGAUUAGCUAGUUGGUAGGGUAAAAGCCUACCAAGGCGACGAUCCAUAGCUGGUCUGAGAGGAUGAUCAGCCACACUGGGACUGAGACACGGCCCAGACUCCUACGGGAGGCAGCAGUGGGGAAUAUUGGACAGUGGGCGAAAGCAUGAUCCAGCAAUGCCGCGUGAGUGAUGAAGGCCUUAGGGUUGUAAAGCUCUUUUACCCGGGAUGAUAAUGACAGUACCGGGAGAAUAAGCUCCGGCUAACUCCGUG